Long non-coding RNA from Mustela putorius furo (domestic ferret), 3311 nucleotides. The record is from Ensembl. Lineage: Eukaryota; Metazoa; Chordata; Mammalia; Carnivora; Mustelidae.
CCCUCUCUCUCUGCCUGCCUCUCUGCCUACUUGUAAUCUCUCCGUGUCAAAUAAAUAAAUAAAUAAAUAAAUAAAUAAAUAAAUAAAAGUAAGUUGUUCUCGGUUUAGACAUGACUGAUCUUUGCUUCCCAGAAGUUAUAAUGCAGUCCCAUGAAUAAGGACAACAGAGAAGAGGAUCACUGGUCCCAAGAAGAAUGCAAAGUAUAUAGGGAGGUCAAGGCUGAAUCCAACUCAGACUCAGUCCCAGAUAAUGUUAAUCUAGGAUGACAGGAACAUGUGAUAACAUAAAAUAUGCUUACCUUUCCAAAGCCAAAAACUAAUCUGUGAGUAGCUGGGCAUUGAUAAAGUUUUUACAGAACGUUCAAUUCUGCUCCUGCCUUUCUAAGGUUCUUUUCUUCCCUCCCGUGACAGACAAGGGCACAGACGGGACAGUGCUGUGUGCAGUCAGGAAAUUCUGAGUACAGCAUGUGAGCAAGUCACUUCACUUCCCUAAGCCCUACCUUUCUCCUGAGGUACUCAGAAUCAUCAUGUGCACACCCAGUGCCUAGAACAGGAAUGGCACAGAGUAAGAAGUCAGUAAUUACACUUUGAUUGAAUAAAUGAGGUAUGAAUGUACAUACCAUGGAAAUGGGUCCAUAAAAAUGGCAUUUGUACCUGAGUGGCUCAGUCAGUUAAGCCUCUGCCUUCGGCUUAGAUUUUUUUUUUUUUUUUUUUGGAUGAUUGUUCCUCAUUCGGCUACGGUUGGGUGGGACCUGAUGGGAAGGCAUCAGGUAACUAAACUAAACAUCAGGAAACUAAACACUGAAGAAGUCACGCGGAGUCGUGGGAUGACAUCACACAACAACUGGUCAUCUGCUUCUGCUGUUGGAAGAUCAGGAUCAAGGGGCAGAGGUGAUGUCACUGGCUGGAGACACAGAUGUUUUGCUCCCACCAUAGACAAGGACAAGGGUGGCUGGCUUCAUGGGAGGGGUCCCGAUCUCACGGUGUCAUCAUCACCAGCACAGUCAUGCAAAUGUCCCUCAGACUGUCCAAGCACGAAAGGACAGCCAGAGCCUCUGCAACUGCUUUUCAAGGCACGGAGGUAUUCUGUAGCACUAGAAGAAGCUCUCCUUUGCAAGGAGCAAGACAAAGCCAGCGUAACUCCCCAGGGCCACCCCCUGAUGCUGGUUCCAGUCCAAGCCUGGACAAAGUCCCUAGAAACACAGCACAGUGCAAAGUCACCUAGGACAACAGAGCAAGGAAUGACCUCUGAACACUAGCACCGUAGUGGUCAUCCCAGGCGAUGCUGAGCACAGACAUGCACAGAACUGACCCACUAGAUGUGAGUGACCCUGGAGAAAGGCCUCUUUUUUCCAGUUGCUGUUUAGGAAGGAAGGUGGGUCCUUACGUAGCUGGGCUCUCUCCAAACUCAGCCGCUGUGGACAAAGAACACCCAGCCCAUGCACAGGCUCCGAGGGCAGAGACUUCCCAGUGACCAGCACAGAGACUUCUGAGGGCAGACUUCCCAGUGACCAGCACAGAGAGGACACUUGAUUUGUUCGUCAUGGGAUGACCAAGGGGACAAAUGAGAAGGGAACAUUGAAAUCCUCCACCCACUCACCACACUGACCCCAUCGAUCCCACAGAAGGCAGGAGUCUCGAGAAACCCACAAGAGGCUCCCGUUCCCAUGAUCCUACCACUUAGCAUUUUCCAGGCUUGUCAGGUCAUGAAAGAUCAUAAAAGUAUAAAAUAAAGCAAACACAGUGCUUGCCCAGUAUCCAGAUUCCCAAGCCACUCUCCCUGGAGCUUCUGAUUUCAGGAGGUCAGGGGCAGGGCCCCAGGAUCUGGAAGUUUAACAACUCACCCAGGUGAGUCUUAGGAACCUGACAGUUGGAGAAGCGCCACCUGCCAGUUCCCAGAGGCUGCCUGCCGGACUCACCCACUUCCUGUUGCUGUGAGAGGAGCCAGCCAGGUUGGCUUUCGCCCGCCCCAUUUUAAACAACCACCUGCACGCAAGGCACCUGCUCUACAGACUGGGCUCUGCUUCUCGCCCAGGGACCCUCCCACAAUGGGUCCCACAAGAGGGGAUCACCAAAGUCCCCAAGGCUGCCACCAGAGUUCCUCAGAGUAACGCAUUCCCAGCCGAGGCCUGGUCAGCAGGUGGGGGACUCCCUAAACCUUUCCGCCUUUUUGGUGCCCAACCUUCUCACCCUUGCCCUUUGACCCCAUCCCUGUCCUCAGCCGCCCCACCAGAAGCAGCUGCUGGGAAAUGGGUGGGGCUUCGGGGCCCCAAGGAGGAUCCAGAAUCACCUGUGGAUCUGUGACCCCGAGCUGUCUAGAGGAAAGAAAAGCCGACCCACAGCCAACAGUUUCUACUGAAGGAAGUAAAUCCUUCAGUAAACUCUGCCCACCUGGUCACAGCAGGAAGGAAAGUCCCCUGGGGCCUGACUCUGCCACCGUGGGCUACACAGAGACUCAGUAGUUCCCACACAGCCGGCAUCUGGCUCCCGCAGGUGUCACGCCAUGUCCCUUUCCCAGACCCCACCCACACAGCCGAGGACCACAUACUCCUGCAGCGAGACCUCACAAGGGAACAGAAAACAGACAGAGGGCAGGACCACCAGAUCCAAAUCCCUUCCUUCCUUUUUGAAGGCUUGGGUUGGUCAUCACCUGGAUGAGGGGUCAUACCUGAGAACCCUGAGCUACUGGGGCCAAUCUUUCUCACUGGGCCUCAGUUUUCCCCUCUAAAAAGUGGGUUAAUAACCCCUUACAGUCUCUAAGUAGAGGUGUUGUAAAACAUAAUUAGCUGAUUUCUGCUAAUGACAGAGGCCUCCCUACAACUGCCCUCUGAUGCUCAUUUCUCCACCCACAGUCGGUCCACCUGCCUAAAGUGACCAAGGCGCAUUCCUCCCCCUGGUCUGGUCAAACAGCCAGAGUUCAAGUUCAAACAUUAUAAUGAAUGUAAUGGUUGUUUUGGUGCAAAACAACCAGGCAGCCUCAAAGGUAGCCCAUGUCCCCUGCCCUCUUGUCACUCGCCCCUGACCAAAAAUUACCAGUAAGGCCUCGUUCUCCCGUCUGGGCUCCCAUCCUUCCCGUCCUCUCCUCCUUCUGAAGAAGGUAGGGACUGGCCUUGGGGGGAGAAGAGAGCCUUCCUAGGGACCUCUGCACCCGCUCACAGCCCAGAGGCGACUCACCUAGCAAGCCCAUCAAGUCUGCCAUCUACUUACAUUCUAGGCCUCCAUCUACACGUCAAGUUUCCAGUCAUUUCCGAAACAUUUCUUAAAACAUUAAAAUCCGUUGGGGCACCUGGGUGGCUCAGUGGGUUAAAGCC